AAUGGGUCAGCGACUUAUAUUCUGUAGCAAGGUUAACCGAAUAGGGGAGCCGGAGGGAAACCGAGUCUUAAUUGGGCGUUAAGUUGCAGGGUAUAGACCCGAAACCCGGUGAUCUAGCCAUGGGCAGGUUGAAGGUUGGGUAACACUAACUGGAGGACCGAACCGACUAAUGUUGAAAAAUUAGCGGAUGACCUGUGGCUGGGGGUGAAAGGCCAAUCAAACCGGGAGAUAGCUGGUUCUCCCCGAAAGCUAUUUAGGUAGCGCCUCGUGAAUUCAUCUCCGGGGGUAGAGCACUGUUUCGGCUAGGGGGCCAUCCCGGCUUACCAACCCGAUGCAAACUGCGAAUACCGGAGAAUGUUAUCACGGGAGACACACGGCGGGUGCUAACGUCCGUCGUGAAGAGGGAAACAACCCAGACCGCCAGCUAAGGUCCCAAAGUCAUGGUUAAGUGGGAAACGAUGUGGGAAGGCCCAGACAGCCAGGAUGUUGGCUUAGAAGCAGCCAUCAUUUAAAGAAAGCGUAAUAGCUCACUGGUCGAGUCGGCCUGCGCGGAAGAUGUAACGGGGCUAAACCAUGCACCGAAGCUGCGGCAGCGACACUGUGUGUUGUUGGGUAGGGGAGCGUUCUGUAAGCCUGUGAAGGUGUGUCGUGAGGCAUGCUGGAGGUAUCAGAAGUGCGAAUGCUGACAUAAGUAACGAUAAAGCGGGUGAAAAGCCCGCUCGCCGGAAGACCAAGGGUUCCUGUCCAACGUUAAUCGGGGCAGGGUGAGUCGACCCCUAAGGCGAGGCCGAAAGGCGUAGUCGAUGGGAAACGGGUUAAUAUUCCCGUACUUGGUGUUACUGCGAAGGGGGGACGGAGAAGGCUAUGUUGGCCGGGCGACGGUUGUCCCGGUUUAAGCGUGUAGGUGUGUGUUCCAGGUAAAUCCGGUUCACUUUAACACUGAGGCGUGACGACGAGGCACUACGGUGCUGAAGCAACAAAUGCCCUGCUUCCAGGAAAAGCCUCUAAGCAUCAGGUAACAUCAAAUCGUACCCCAAACCGACACAGGUGGUCAGGUAGAGAAUACCAAGGCGCUUGAGAGAACUCGGGUGAAGGAACUAGGCAAAAUGGUGCCGUAACUUCGGGAGAAGGCACGCUGACACGUAGGUGAAGUGAUUUACUCAUGGAGCUGAAGUCAGUCGAAGAUACCAGCUGGCUGCAACUGUUUAUUAAAAACACAGCACUGUGCAAACACGAAAGUGGACGUAUACGGUGUGACGCCUGCCCGGUGCCGGAAGGUUAAUUGAUGGGGUCAGCGCAAGCGAAGCUCCUGAUCGAAGCCCCGGUAAACGGCGGCCGUAACUAUAACGGUCCUAAGGUAGCGAAAUUCCUUGUCGGGUAAGUUCCGACCUGCACGAAUGGCGUAAUGAUGGCCAGGCUGUCUCCACCCGAGACUCAGUGAAAUUGAACUCGCUGUGAAGAUGCAGUGUACCCGCGGCAAGACGGAAAGACCCCGUGAACCUUUACUAUAGCUUGACACUGAACAUUGAGCCUUGAUGUGUAGGAUAGGUGGGAGGCUUUGAAGUGUGGACGCCAGUCUGCAUGGAGCCGACCUUGAAAUACCACCCUUUAAUGUUUGAUGUUCUAACGUGGACCCGUUACCCGGGUUGCGGACAGUGUCUGGUGGGUAGUUUGACUGGGGCGGUCUCCUCCUAAAGAGUAACGGAGGAGCACGAAGGUUGGCUAAUCCUGGUCGGACAUCAGGAGGUUAGUGCAAUGGCAUAAGCCAGCUUGACUGCGAGCGUGACGGCGCGAGCAGGUGCGAAAGCAGGUCAUAGUGAUCCGGUGGUUCUGAAUGGAAGGGCCAUCGCUCAACGGAUAAAAGGUACUCCGGGGAUAACAGGCUGAUACCGCCCAAGAGUUCAUAUCGACGGCGGUGUUUGGCACCUCGAUGUCGGCUCAUCACAUCCUGGGGCUGAAGUAGGUCCCAAGGGUAUGGCUGUUCGCCAUUUAAAGUGGUACGCGAGCUGGGUUUAGAACGUCGUGAGACAGUUCGGUCCCUAUCUGCCGUGGGCGCUGGAGAACUGAGGGGGGCUGCUCCUAGUACGAGAGGACCGGAGUGGACGCAUCACUGGUGUUCGGGUUGUCAUGCCAAUGGCACUGCCCGGUAGCUAAAUGCGGAAGAGAUAAGUGCUGAAAGCAUCUAAGCACGAAACUUGCCCCGAG
Molecule: ribosomal RNA, 2205 nt
Filed under: Salmonella enterica
Lineage: Bacteria; Pseudomonadati; Pseudomonadota; Gammaproteobacteria; Enterobacterales; Enterobacteriaceae
Also listed under: 2 other names
Description: partial 23S ribosomal RNA
Rfam family: Bacterial large subunit ribosomal RNA
Source: RNAcentral